Anas platyrhynchos (mallard) is the source of this 1019-nucleotide long non-coding RNA. RefSeq lists it as uncharacterized. The record is from RefSeq and is a predicted model, not a curated record. Lineage: Eukaryota; Metazoa; Chordata; Aves; Anseriformes; Anatidae.
GCGCUGCGUGCCCCGUGCCUGUGCCUGUGCCCCAGCACAGCUGUAGCCCCACAGCAAUCAGGGACAGAGCCAAUAAAGCGGGCAGAGGGAACCCAGGCCUGGUUUGGAGGGUGCCUGAGGGUCAUGGGUUUCUGAGUAGCUGUGUGGAGCGCAGCGUUGGCUGCCUCUGCGCCACCCCGACUGCUGCUCGAGCUCCUCGUGGACAUGAUUGCCUCAGUCCCAGCCCUGGAAGGAGUCCCGGUGAACGCUGACUAAGAGCCUGAGUUUCCUUGGGACUCUACAUAGAAUAUUAUUGGAGUUGUGGAAGUUGAAGCCAGAAACACAACUGCAUCCAGCUGAAACUUGAGAGGAUGGAGAAACCUCGCACAUUGUGGCUUGGAUCCUCAGGAAAAAAACUGCAGAUUGGUAAGUGCUUUUAGUGCACGCAGGUUUAUGCCGCUUUUCUAUGGAAAUAAAUAUUGCCAGCUUUGCCACUACAAAAAAGUUCUUGGAGUCCAAGACCAUCACAUCUUGCCAAGUAUAGCAAACCACUUCUAUCAGAGGAGACAUUUUGCACUAGAUAAACUUGGAGCUUGUGUUACUGCAACUCUAAUUCAAAGUUCCCAUCCAGUGUAACAGUUUAUUUUCCUUUAGCAUAUGUAACUUGUUAUAUUUUUUAUUAAGUGCCAUUGCUAAACUGACUAUAGGGUGUGCUGCUUGAAAAUGUAGUUUACACAAUCUAUGUGACAGAAAGUUACAUAUUAGCCACUUUUUAAGUUUCCAAAAUCUACUUAUGUGCCUUGUAGAGUAUCUUUUAUAAUGCUUAUCUGGUGAAUGAAAUAGCUUUUUUUUUUCUUUCCUGUCGGCAUUGUGAUAAAGAAUGGAUUAAAGGAACACAUGGCUAGCUUGGCAUUUUGUCAAGAUAUUUUUUCAGUGUUACUUUAAAGAACUAUUUCAGUCAAAUUCUGUGUUACUAAAUGAACGAAUGUUGAAAAAUUUUCACAAGGGUUUUUCCAGAAUAUUGUAUAUUGCUUACCUGU